RNAcentral lists this ribosomal RNA (771 nucleotides) under uncultured bacterium. RNAcentral describes it as "bacterial SSU rRNA". It matches the Rfam family "Bacterial small subunit ribosomal RNA", at positions 8 to 796 of the family's 1533-position model. The record is from RNAcentral.
AGAGUUUGAUCCUGGCUCAGGACGAACGCUGGCGGCGUGCUUAACACAUGCAAGUCGAGCGGUAAGGCCCUUCGGGGUACACGAGCGGCGAACGGGUGAGUAACACGUGGGUGACCUGCCCCCAACUCUGGGAUAAGCCCGGGAAACUGGGUCUAAUACCGGAUAUGACCACAUGUCGCAUGGUGUGUGGUGGAAAGUUUUUCGGUUGGGGAUGGGCCCGCGGCCUAUCAGCUUGUUGGUGGGGUGAUGGCCUACCAAGGCGACGACGGGUAGCCGGCCUGAGAGGGCGACCGGCCACACUGGGACUGAGACACGGCCCAGACUCCUACGGGAGGCAGCAGUGGGGAAUAUUGCGCAAUGGGCGAAAGCCUGACGCAGCGACGCCGCGUGGGGGAUGACGGCCUUCGGGUUGUAAACCUCUUUCGCCAGGGACGAAGCGCAAGUGACGGUACCUGGAUAAGAAGCACCGGCCAACUACGUGCCAGCAGCCGCGGUAAUACGUAGGGUGCGAGCGUUGUCCGGAAUUAUUGGGCGUAAAGAGCUCGUAGGCGGUCUGUCGCGUCGGUCGUGAAAACUUGGGGCUUAACCCUGAGCUUGCGGUCGAUACGGGCAUGACUGGAGUUCGGCAGGGGAGACUGGAAUUCCUGGUGUAGCGGUGAAAUGCGCAGAUAUCAGGAGGAACACCGGUGGCGAAGGCGGGUCUCUGGGCCGAUACUGACGCUGAGGAGCGAAAGCGUGGGGAGCGAACAGGAUUAGAUACCCUAGUAGUCC